RNAcentral lists this ribosomal RNA (497 nucleotides) under uncultured bacterium. Its description in RNAcentral is "partial 16S ribosomal RNA". It matches the Rfam family "Bacterial small subunit ribosomal RNA", at positions 28 to 507 of the family's 1533-position model. The record is from RNAcentral.
GAUGAACGCUGGCGGCGUGCCUAAUACAUGCAAGUCGAGCGAACAAACGAGGAGCUUGCUCCUCUGACGUUAGCGGCGGACGGGUGAGUAACACGUGGAUAACCUACCUAUAAGACUGGGAUAACUUCGGGAAACCGGAGCUAAUACCGGAUAAUAUAUUGAACCGCAUGGUUCAAUAGUGAAAGACGGUUUUGCUGUCACUUAUAGAUGGAUCCGCGCCGCAUUAGCUAGUUGGUAAGGUAACGGCUUACCAAGGCAACGAUGCGUAGCCGACCUGAGAGGGUGAUCGGCCACACUGGAACUGAGACACGGUCCAGACUCCUACGGGAGGCAGCAGUAGGGAAUCUUCCGCAAUAGGCGAAAGCCUGACGGAGCAACGCCGCGUGAGUGAUGAAGGUCUUCGGAUCGUAAAACUCUGUUAUUAGGGAAGAACAAAUGUGUAAGUAACUAUGCACGUCUUGACGGUACCUAAUCAGAAAGCCACGGCUAACUACGUG